GCCCUCUUAGCUCAGGGGAUAGAGCGACUGCCUCCGGAGCAGUAGGCCGAAGGUUCGAAUCCUUUAGAGGGCACCA
This 76-nucleotide transfer RNA is filed under the name Actinomycetes bacterium. RNAcentral's name for it is "tRNA-Arg". It matches the Rfam family "tRNA". Rfam says of the family: Transfer RNA (tRNA) molecules are approximately 80 nucleotides in length. Their secondary structure includes four short double-helical elements and three loops (D, anti-codon, and T loops). Lineage: Bacteria; Bacillati; Actinomycetota; Actinomycetes. The record is from RNAcentral.